Dermochelys coriacea (leatherback sea turtle) is the source of this 260-nucleotide non-coding RNA. RefSeq annotates it as small Cajal body-specific RNA 2. NCBI's taxonomy places the organism in Eukaryota, Metazoa, Chordata, Testudines, Dermochelyidae. The transcript has a single exon. The record is from RefSeq and is a predicted model, not a curated record.
GGACGAGGGUGGGCGGGGGUGCGGGGGCGGGGGGUGCGCGUGCGGCGCUGCUGAGAUCCCGGCUACACGCUGAUCUUAUUCGAUCGGGCCGGGGGCGGCCGCCCGGCCCGAGAUGAGAAGACCCCUCCCGCGAAGCCCGCGGGCGCUGUGCGGGGAGCAGAGCGCGGAGGCCGCCGCCGGCCCGCCCGGCGCUCAGAGGUGAUGAGUCGAUCAGAUAGACGAGGCCGCGGCCCAUGAGUAUCGAGGCGAUUCUGAUCUGA